UCGAUUAUUGUCAAAACUGAAACACGUUGUUUUUCUACUUGGAAGUUUUAUCCACCACUAGAUUUUUCACCCUCUCCGGGGGUCUGUAUACCAAUAAACUGUUGAUCUCUCAA
Long non-coding RNA from Mytilus californianus (California mussel), 113 nucleotides. RefSeq lists it as uncharacterized. NCBI's taxonomy places the organism in Eukaryota, Metazoa, Mollusca, Bivalvia, Mytilida, Mytilidae. The record is from RefSeq and is a predicted model, not a curated record. The transcript is spliced from 2 exons.